Long non-coding RNA from Drosophila montana, 2833 nucleotides. RefSeq lists it as uncharacterized. Lineage: Eukaryota; Metazoa; Arthropoda; Insecta; Diptera; Drosophilidae. The record is from RefSeq and is a predicted model, not a curated record. The transcript is spliced from 5 exons.
UCCGCAUAAUCGAUUUCAACAAAGCUACGUCUGUAGCAAAUCAGACCUACCUAUACUAGACAAUAGACACUAUUUAAAAUGAUCCACAUAAUCGAUAACAACAAACAGUCGGAACUUCUAACAAAUGAACAAGACUAACAGCUGUAACAACAAGAAAAGGUAAUCAACAAAGAUCGGGUCCCGGCUCCGGACCCAGAGUACCCGCGCUACCUGAGACGAUCACCUGAUCUCGUCUCCCUCAUUUUGGCCACUAGAUGGCCUUUAAUCAGCCCGUGUCGGCUGUCAUGCCCCCUCUUCCCAUCAAUUGAAACUUAGCAGGACAUUUUUUCCCUCAAUAUCCCUUUUACAAUCUAAUGCAAGUGGACAUUUCUUAUAAUUUUGUGCAUAUUCUUAUAAUUAUUGACAAUGUGUAUUAAGUUCAAAAAUGUUAAUUUUUGCCAGGCGACGAAAACACUGCCAAAGUUAUUGCCAGUCAACAAAAAAAAAACAAGGGGAAAGAUACUAAUAUCAGACGCAAUAAUCUUUGGGGCAUUUCCUUCACCGUUCGCACUUUCGGAAAUUUUCUUAAGUGAAACUAUGCAUAAUGUACAGGGGUCUCGAACAUGAGUCUUCGUUUGACUCUGCUUGUAACUCGGGGCGAAGAAGGACGACAUAGAACGGACUCACUCUGAUGAUGUGUGCGCGGUCUCGCCCGUGGCCGCUUCUUGGCCUAUCCUUCUGGAUAGCGUUGGUGACACGUGCGCCGAGGGUAUGGCUGAUGUGCGCCGCUGCGUCGAAACCUGGCCUGGGAGUGACUCUGUUGGUCCUCUCUGGUCCGAGAGCUGAUCCCUUCGUUGCCGGAACACUGGGUCGUUUAUUUUAUUAUUUGUCUUAUUUGAUUUUUUCGUCUCGUCUCGCAUGUAAGAUUUACACACGCAUACAUUUACGAGGCGGGCACCGAUGCAGCCCAUCUGCACAGCUGCACUUUAGGGUCUAUGGCCCAGUUGUACGCCAAGGGCAUGUCAAGGGCACCCGAUCCGCUCUCCUCCUAAUCUCACUAUGAGCGAAUCGGUUGCCCAAUCAUGCUCGCUCAAUGGCAUUACCCUUCUCUGCGCAGUGGAUCGCAAGCCGGGCGUUGCCACUUUUCAAUUAAUUUGGCGCCACUGUGUGCCCGGUUUCACCCCCGCUACUCUGCUCAUACGACAAAAAGAUAAUGGCGUGGCCGAUAAUAAAGAACGCAUCCAACUAGGUAAACUAUCGAUGCUGCCAAUUAUAUCAAAUGCAAUAACCAAAUUUCGAUACGACAACAAUUUCACAACAAGAACAACUCUAUAACGAAGGACAUACAUUAGAAAUGUUACAAAUAAUAAACACACACAAAUAAUAAACAACAGACGACUAAACUAUAAAACAGACACCGAAAACUGCGCUGACUUAUACAGACAUCUAUUGAACUGCCAAAUACGUGUAAAACAAUGUAUGUUUUAUAAAUUGUUUAAAUAAAUGUUUAAUUUUAUUUAAUGUAUCCUAAUGUUAAUUGUUUUUGUGUUAGUGCCCUGAAGACGGUUACCGAAGUGCAGCCGUAAUAUAUAGGUUAUAUUCAAACAAAAUUGCGUUUUCAUUUUGUGUUGAAUAAAAAAGCCUCGUACCUCGAGCCAGCCAAACAAAUAAUUAUAAAAUUGUAAUAUAAUGUUGUAUUUGGCGACCUUUCCAUUCUUUUUUAUCCAUGACAAAAUGAAAAUGCAAAUUGUUUGAAAUUUAACCAAUAUAUUCCGGCUGCACUUCGGCAACCGUCUUCAGGGCAAUUGUUUUACACGUCUGCGCUCUUUGACGUGGAGGUUCAGACAAUUAUAAAAUUGUAAUAUAUGUUAAAAAAUUCAAAAAGUAUUUAUUUAAAUUUUUAAUUAUAAGAAAUUAUUAUACUUAAUUUAAUUUUAAUUUAAUAUAACUUAAUUAAUUUCAAUUAAUUUUUUUAAAUAAUAAUUCCAUACAAGAUUACGUUUUUAUUGUUAUUAAAAUUGUAUAGUUUGUAAAUGCCUAGGACAAAAAGUUGUCAUUUAUUAAUAGGUCUCAGAGACAACGAGCAAGAAAUCAGUUAAAUAGGUCUAAUUUGGAAUAUGCUGAACAGGAGAGGAUAAACAAGAUAGAGUCUCAACGAGAGCGUAGAGAAAGUGAAGAUUUUAACCAAACUGAGAGAAAGAGGAAUAGACAACGAAGCCAAGUUCACUGACAAGACCUAGUUUACAGGGUGAAUUAACAAAGACAAAAUACUGUAGAUCACUCGACUCGAGUUAGGCAACUCCAGUUAGGCAACUGCAAUAAUUGGGUGAUACUUCGCGACUAUUGAGACGCAGACUAGACCUAGUUUAUGGGGCAAACGAACAGAGACAAAAUACUGAAGACAACAGGAGCAAUUGGCGAGCUUAUGGGGCAAACAAACAAGGACAAGACAAUAUUCGGCGAGAACGCGAUCGACAAAACUUACAAUGACGACUUUUAGAUAGAGCUAGGGAUAGAAAUCAAAGGUCACAGGUUAGAGAAAACUCAAUUCGUAGAAUAAAUGAGCAAGCAUGUAAUACAAGUGCAAGGCGAAGUGCUCGAAUUCAAGCAUGACAGGACGCUUUUGACGCAAAUAGAAAUUUGUCUCAGCGAUUUAACCAGUUAAAAUGUAAUAUGCGCAAUACCAAGAACAGUGAAGAACGUGCAAAUAGUUUUACAGAGAAUAGAAUUUCUCCAGCUAUUAGGAAUAACUUAGAUUAUCUGAUAGCUGCAUUUAAUAAAAAAGGAAGCGCAGAUAUUUUAUUUCUAUCCUCUAUAUUUUCUUUUGUCAAUAAUAAAUAAAGUUUUUGCAAAA